Molecule: RNA transcript, 6305 nt
Organism: Folsomia candida
Lineage: Eukaryota; Metazoa; Arthropoda; Collembola; Entomobryomorpha; Isotomidae
Gene: hlk
Exons: 60
Source: RefSeq, a predicted model, not a curated record
UCCCAGAAAGACGGCUAAUGGGACAUCAGUAGUUUGUAGGUCAAUCUACGACAGCCAGAGAGAGCAUUUUUUUGUGGUGCAUACCGUGUGUGCUGCCGCUGGAGCCAUAGAAGAAGUCACUGUCGGAGAAAUAUACGAGUGGGUCGUGAUUGUGCCGCAACCAUGAUUUUUUUGCACUUCUUCCCCUGGAGGUGCAACAGAAGAGGGGGCGUGGGAGGGGGUGGCCUGGCUCAGAUCAUCACCACCCUUCUCUGGUGUCUCGUGGGUGGGUUGGUGUUCUCCACCGAUAACCAUGUGUUCGCCAGCAAGGACUCCUCUGUCAUCGAGGAGGUCAACUCGCGACAACUAGCCAAACUGCUGGAUGAGAAAGACUUUGUUGCGGUGCUCUGGAUGACAAAAAACUGUCCUGCCUGCGUAACCGCCCUCCAAGAAUUAGAAAAGAUAGAUGACGACACGGACAAGUUCGGUGUGGAGUUUGUCAAGAUCAUCGACAAACGCACGGCUAAAAAUUACGGAGUGGACUCGUUUCCAACACUGACCUAUUUCCGCAACAAGGAACCCGUCCCUUUCACAGGAGACUUGGAGAAUGAGGACGCCGUGCUGGAAUUUCUUACCUCGCUCGACUCAAUGGAUUCGAGAGAUCGGAUUGAAGAGGUCAACGCAAAGAUACUUGAUCGAAUUGUUCACGAAGACGGAAGUUACGUGGCCGUCCUCUUUUGUAGAUCGAUGGAGGCAUGUAGAGCUAAAAACACGCCAGAUUGUCGGAAAUGCGAAAAGGUGUUGAGGGAAUUGGAGAACAUUGAUGACGAGGCGGACGAGUUGGGCAUAGCCUUCGUCAAAAUCCAGGAUGAUGAGCUGGCAGAUGAGUACAACUUGGAGUCAUUGCCAUCCCUGGUCUAUUACAGGCUGGAAGUACCCAUUGUGUUCGAUGGCGAUCUCACAAAUGAGGAAGAUGUCUUGGAAUGGCUCAUCACCAACAAAAAUAGCGGUGACGAUGAGGAUGACGAAAUAGAAGCCGUUAGCGCUAAGGCCCUUUGGACUUUGGUGGACUCGAUCGACCACUUGGCCGUCCUCUUCCUCGACUCGAGCCCCCUGUCCGAGGCAGCCCUCAAAGACCUCGAACUGAUCGACGACGACUGUUCCAGACAAGGCAUCGAGUUUGUCAAAACUGAUGAUAAGAAAGCAGCGAAAGAGUUUGGCGUGGAAAAUUUACCUGCCCUCGUCUACUUCGAACAACAAAUACCCAACGUGUACGAUGGUGAUUUGAGGGACGAGGAUGAAGUUUUGAAAUGGUUAUUGCAUCAAAAAGAUUCUGACGAGAUCGAGGACGUCACCUCCGAAAUGUUGAGCAGAUUAAUUAAGGAAAAGAAACAUUUGGUAGUCCUGUUUUACGACGAUGAUGAAAAAGAGUCAUCGACUGUACUCGCAGAACUAGAAAACAUCGAUGACGAGUGUGAUCAACACGGUGUGACCUUUGUCAAAAUUGAUGACAUGAAAGAGGCAGCGGAAUUUGGAAUUGAAGACACGCCAAAGCUUGUCUACUUUGAGAACACGAUCCCAUCCAUUUACGGGGGCGAUCUGACCAAGGAGGAGAAAGUGCUGGAGUGGCUUAUCGAACAAGUGGAGACUGACGAGAUCGAGGAGGUCACAGACGAAAUGUUGAACAUGCUAAUAAAUAACAACCAGCAGCUCUCUGUCCUCUUUUCGGAACAUCAUGAUGUUGCUGUCCUUUUCAUAAAUGACAAAGACAGUCGACAAUCGCAAAAGAUUUUGGACAAGCUGGAAAACAUUGAUUCUCGAUGUGACGAGCACGGCAUUCCUUUCGUCAAGUUAUCGGAUGAGACAAAAGUACGAGAACUUGGGAUUCCCGUUCCAUCUUUAGUAUACUUUGAGAACAAGAUACCACACUUGUACGAAGGGUCGCUUGAAGACGAGGAAGAGACGUUGGAGUGGCUUCUUCAUCAACUCAAAUCGGACGAGAUUGAAGAGGUUACGGAUGAGAUGCUGGACCAACUUAUUGAACACCAUCCCUAUGUCACAGUUCUCUUUUAUGACAAAGAUGACAAGACAGACCUCAAGAUCCUCACUGAAUUAGAAAAUAUCGACGACGAGUUGGACGGCCAUGGCAUGCUCUUCGUCAAGAUUGACAACGAUGAGGAAGCUAAAGAGUAUGGAUUUGAAGAACUUCCAGUUUUGGUGUAUUUCGAGAAUAAGAUACCUUCCGUGUAUGAGGGAGACCUGGGAAACGAGGAGAAAGUCCUGGAAUGGCUUUUAGAACAGAAACACUCGGACACUAUCGAGGAGGUUACAGAUGAGAUGCUGCAAAAAUUGAUUGGAACAAAUCAAUACGUUGCGGUUUACUUUAGUGGAGACUGUGGCAAAGGGGAAAAAUGUGCCAAAAUCCUGGAAGACUUGGAAUCUUUGGACGACGAUGCAGAUGAGGCAGGAAUCACAAUGGUGACCACGGAGGAAACUAUUUUCGCCACGAAAAGUCUGGGCCUCAGGUCCUUCCCUUCGCUAGUGCUCUUCCGCAACGGUGAUCCUCUCCUCUUCAAAGGCGACAUCACGGAUGAGGACGAAGUUCUUACUUGGAUCACGGAUGAAGACAAUCUCGAGCUCCCCGAUCAGAUCGAGGAGGUCAACCUCAAGAUGCUCCAACGGCUCUUGCACACCACGGAGCACGUCAUUGUGUUCUUUUACCGUUCGGGCGAUAAGAAGUCGGCAAGGAUCUUGCAAGAGCUUGAAAAUAUUGACGACGAGGCUGACGCAGCCAGCAUUGCUUUCGUAAAAAUAUCAGACGAGGCCAUGCUGCGAGAAUACGACCUCGAUCCUUUGCCAGCAUUAGUUUACUUCAAUGAAAAAUUCCCAAUGAUUUAUCCUGGGGACAUGUCGAAAGAAGAGGCCGUGUUGGACUGGGUUUUCAAGCUGAAAGAGGCAGACCGUGACCAGAUUGAAGAAGUGGACCAUCGCACAUUGCGAAUGCUGCUGGAUGAGAUGGACAAUGUGGCAGUGUUUUACUUUGAAGAUGACUGCGGCUCCUCGUGUGACAAGAUUUUGGAAGAGUUGGAACACAUUGAUGACGAUGCGAGCGACGUUGGAAUUCACUUUGUUAAGACGACUGACACGUCCGUGGCAGAGGAGGAAUUGAGGCUGACGGAAUUCCCCAAGCUGGUCUACUACCAAGGGGGCCUCCCCUCAAUUUAUCGAGGCUCACUGGAGGAAGAGGGGGAAGUUUUGCAUUGGUUGGUCUAUCAGAGAAAGUUUGAAGCCCUGCCGGAAUUGACGAGGAAUGACUUGGAUGAUUUGGUUCAGGACUCGGACUACUUGUCAAUCGUUUUCUAUGCCAACCUUACUCACGAGGAGUCUACGAGGACGCUGCGAAGAGCUUCUCUCAUAGCGGAGGACGCAGCAACAUUUGGAAUUCCCAUCGCCAAGAUGAACGAUGCCCUGAUGGCCAAGAGGUUCGGGGUUAAGGAGCUUCCUGGGCUGGUGCUAUUUCGACGGGGACGACACAUUCGAUACGACGACGAUCUGGACGACGAAGAGGAAAUGUUGGACUGGUUGACCGCUCCGGAAAAUAUGAUCCUUAGAGACCAGAUUGAAGUUGUCAACCGUAAAAUGUUGGAUCGGAUGAGAGAGACAACGGAGCACUUGGCCACCAUGUUUUUUUCAGAAACAGACUGCAAACAGUGCCAGCGCGUGGUGGAAUCUUUAGAGCAAAUAGACGACGAAGCUGACGAGAACGGAAUUGCUUUUGUCCGAGUUGAUGACUGGGAGUUGGCGAAAUCUUUUGGCGUUCACGCACUUCCAGCCCUACUUUAUUUCAAACUUGGGAGUGACGAGCCCAUAAUUUUCGCUGGAGAUCUUCGCUCCCCCCAGAAAAUUUUGGAGUGGUUGUUGAUGAGGAAGGACCCAAGUGGAACUGCGAUUGAGGAAAAAGAAGGCGAAGAGCUUGGGAAGAUGAUUGAGGAAGAAGGCAGCUCACUCGUCGUCUACUUUUUCAACAAGACUGUUUGCAAGGCGUGUGAGCCAGACAACAAGAAGAAGAGGAAGGAGAAGAAGAAGGAGGGCAAAGAAGCGUCGGAAGAGUCGGCAGAAGCGGAAGCAGAACGCUUGGCUGGGUGUGCAAUGUGCAGGGAGGUACUCGAGAAGCUGGAAACCGUGGAUGAGGAGGUUGCUCGGCAUGGGGUCAACUUUUACCGGACAGCGGAUGCUGAUUUUGCUGGCGAAAUUGGCGUCGCUGAAUUUCCAGCUUUGGUUUACUUUGAGGACAGCGUUGCCAGCGUGUUUGAAGGGGAGCUCACAAUAGAAGAAGAUGUUCUGCAUUGGAUUGUGGAGCACAAGACAGAGUCCAGGAUAGAGCUUAUUACCAGAGGAAUGUUGGAGCAAGCAUUAAUUGAAACUGCCUACUUGGCCGUCUUCUUCUACAAACAACCUUGCAGAGCUUGUGACGCCAUAUUGAUGGAGCUGGAACACAUAGAUGACGACUGUGAUUCGUAAAUCACAGUACGAUCACAGUUACAGUUAUUAUCAUCUUAUCUCAUGAUAAGAUGACGACUGUGAUGAUUGUGAGUCGUAUUUAUGUGAGUAAUAAUUAACACCACGAUGUUAAUUAAUAAUUUAUAAAUGAGAGGUGGUGUUAAUUAUUAAUUAACACCACCAGUGCUCCCAAAAAGGCUGUGAGAAAUCGGUUGUGAAAGGGAAAUGUCAUACUGAAAUCUUAAACCGGGAGAUUUGUAGUUUUAUUGUCUAAUUCUCUCCCUCGUGAAUCGGAUUAUUUGUAUCCAUUUGUCUGAAUCGAUUUGCAAUGAUAAGUGACAGUGAAUUAAUGCGAAAGCAUGCAAAAUGUGGGGAAGAUUUGUUUUUCUGGCGAGACGGGAACGGCAAGAUUCAAAUGAGAGUUAUCGAGGAGCAGGACCUUAAAAAGAAUCUAGUUCAAAUAUAUUUCUCUCUGUUAACCGACCGACAUGGGGAUAUGCGUGAUAUGACCGUGAACAAAGGAGGUGACAAUAUCUGCCUUAUUGAGAGAACGGAGUCAACCGUCGCUACGUUUUGCAAUGAUGCUUUAGACCCGAACGGAUGUAAGGUAAAAGACCUGGAGGAACAGUGGGGAUGGAAAGUGAACACUGAGAUGACAUACUCCUUCCAUAUGUAUACUGAUGAGUCUUGGGUAGCGGACCAACUGAAGUACGUCACCCGUAGGAAGUUUGGCGUUGUUUGCGCUGAAGCACCGUACUCUGCAGAAAUUGUGUUAGCAGAACACAAGGAAAAAAUUUAUGAUCAUCUGAGGAAGUUCCUUCCUCGACUUCCUCAACUCAGAGAAGAAUACUUCAACAAUCCUCCCCCUCCCCCUCCUGACAAAUUAGAAAAUGCUCGUCUACCCCCGCCGGUACAAGAGAAACUGAAAUGUGAAUUGUGUUCUUCAUUUGUGCAUAGAGAUCUUACAAAUCUAACGGAGCAUAUAAAUAAAUGCCAUUAUUCUGGCCCCGAUGCAGUGGCCUGUGAUUGCUGUCCAUGUUCUUUUAAAAAACCGUCAAGCCUCCAAGCUCAUCGAGCCAACAUUCACGCAGGAACCAAACCACCAAAAAGGAAUACGUUCGGCAUCAUGGACAUGAGUGACGAGGACGCAUGCGAUGCCUUCCUGGAGAUUGUCCCAUGUGAUGAAGGUUCCAAAAUAAGUAAAUCCCGUUGUAUAUGGGCACGAGAAGAUGGGCACAAAUGUGGAAAAAUAAUGAUUGGGGUAAUCAAUUCUCGUGAUCACGUCUGCACCCAUUUAAAACUGAGGCCGUAUAUAUGUCCUGUGUCUGGAUGUAUCUAUUCCUCCGCAGCUUACCACAACGUUAUCAGACAUUACAAAAGUAACCAUGAAGGAGAAGAACAACAACGCGACGAAGAGUCUGAGAACAAAGAAGACGAACCUCCAAAGAAAAAAAAGAAACCCCUAGCUUCACAAACACAAUCAAAUACACGCAGCAAAUAGGAAAACACUGGAGAAACGUGAUGACCAACCUAAUGUUUCCCAUGGUACAGAGGUCAACGAAAUGCUGAAUUUCGUUUUCGAUGUACCGUUCGUAAAACCCGAUCCGAUAUAACCAUUGAAGAAUUUCAACUAAACCAAAGACUACGGUGCCCACAACAAACCUUUAACGCCAAUUAUUAAAGAUACAAUUAAUGCAAAUUAGUCAUAAUUAAGAUACGAUGUGUAUCACAACAUUUUUGUCUUUUUCUCUUAUUCUCAUAAAGUAAAUUAAAUUAAAAAUUAUUGUUGUCGAAUAGUUUGUGAUUAAAUAUUUCUCACUCUCGAA